RNAcentral lists this ribosomal RNA (375 nucleotides) under uncultured bacterium. Its description in RNAcentral is "bacterial SSU rRNA". It matches the Rfam family "Bacterial small subunit ribosomal RNA", at positions 30 to 403 of the family's 1533-position model. The record is from RNAcentral.
AUUGAACGCUGGCGGCAUGCCUUACACAUGCAAGUCGAACGGCAGCGCGGGGCAACCUGGCGGCGAGUGGCGAACGGGUGAGUAAUAUAUCGGAACGUACCCUGGAGUGGGGGAGUAACGUAGCGAAGUUACGCUAAUACCGCAUACGAUCUAAGGAUGAAAGUGGGGGACCGCCUUGGCGGCCUCAUGCUCCUGGAGCGGCCGAUAUCUGAUUAGCUAGUUGGUGAGGUAAAGGCUCACCAAGGCGACGAUCAGUAGCUGGUCUGAGAGGACGAUCAGCCACACUGGAACUGAGACACGGCCCAGACUCCUACGGGAGGCAGCAGUGGGGAAUAUUGGACAAUGGGCGAAAGCCUGAUCCAGCAAUGCCGCGUG